Molecule: ribosomal RNA, 115 nt
Filed under: Acinetobacter baumannii
Lineage: Bacteria; Pseudomonadati; Pseudomonadota; Gammaproteobacteria; Moraxellales; Moraxellaceae
Also listed under: 1 other name
Source: RNAcentral
GCUGGCGACCAUAGCAAGAGUGAACCACCUGAUCCCUUCCCGAACUUAGAAGUGAAACCUCUUAGCGCUGAUGGUAGUGUGGGAUUACCCAUGUGAGAGUAAGUCAUCGCCAGCU